UCUUAAUAUCCAGAGUGAACCUCCCCUGGCACAGCUUGAGGCCAUUACCUGUUGCUGUUACAUGGGAGAAGAGACCAGCACUCACCUCCCUACAUCUUUCUUUCAGGUAGUUGUAGAGAGCAAUGAGGCCUGCCCCGAGCAUCCUCUUCUCCAGGCUGAACCAUCCCAGUUCCCUCAGCUGCCUCUUAUAAGACUUGUGCUCCAGACCUCUCACAGCUUCACUGUCCUUACUGAAGAGAUGGGAUGCAGCUGCACUUGUGCAGGUUUUGUCCAGCCAAAAGAAAAGUAGCCAGCCACAUCAGCAUGGUGGCGAGCAGUGUGCCUGCUGUUACAUCGUCCGCCUGCUCCUCGUGCCCGUCACUCACGAAGCAUGACGGCUGCCAUCAAACGGGGAUUACUCCGAGCAGCACCACGGCCAUGCAGCUUCUAGAACAAAGAGAAACAUUUUGCCGAGUGAGUCUCCUACCCUCAUGCAAAAACAGAAGUUGGACAAAGAGAGGUGGAAAGGGGAGGUUUCAUAAGUUACAAGGCCUCUAACCUAAAUUUUGAGACUUUAGCAAAUACUGUAGUGGUUUAUUUAUCACUAUCUGUUUUCAGUCAAGAUAGGAUGGUUUUUAAAAAUAUCUGACCUGGGCCGAAGAAGAAUCAAGCAGGGAAGCCCGAUGUCUUCUUUUGUGCAGUCAGGCGUCAGUGAUCCAUUCUUAUGUUAUAAUUUAUGAAUUUUCCAAAUUACAGUGAAUCAGUUCCUUAAACUCUCCAAGAGCAAUUAUGCAGCUAUGUGAACCUUUUCUACUGAAUUACAAGGCAAAAUAUUUAUGCAUUUGGUGAUCUUUCAAGUGAGAAACAUUUGAUGCCAUUUUUAUGAAAAGAAAUCGUAAUUUGCAUAGCAGUGGUGAAAGCAUUCUGAAAUUCUCCAGCUAUUGCUGCCUACCUAAUGAGUUACUUACCAAGCAGGAUUGAUCAUUUACUUUGUAAAGACGUCAAGAAAAGAUUGUCAGAAGAAGAUUAGUGUGAUUUGUUUAUUACAAGUGUAGAGACAGAGACCUACUUGGAAAGAUGGCAGCAGAGUUAAAUCUUUAUGGGUAAGAUAAAGAUUAAUGGAAAUGAAAGAUAAAGAGCAAUAAAGGCAAUUACACAACAAGCGGACUGCA
RNAcentral lists this long non-coding RNA (1151 nucleotides) under Numida meleagris (helmeted guineafowl). Its description in RNAcentral is "lncRNA (ENSNMEG00000008750.1)". The record is from RNAcentral. Lineage: Eukaryota; Metazoa; Chordata; Aves; Galliformes; Numididae.